This 557-nucleotide ribosomal RNA is filed under the name Agrilus lacroixi. Its description in RNAcentral is "partial 16S ribosomal RNA". It matches the Rfam family "Bacterial large subunit ribosomal RNA", at positions 1946 to 2728 of the family's 2925-position model. Lineage: Eukaryota; Metazoa; Arthropoda; Insecta; Coleoptera; Buprestidae. The record is from RNAcentral.
UCGUGCGAAGGUAGCAUAAUCAUUAGCUUCUUAAUUAGGAGCUGGUAUGAAGGAUUGGACGAGAUGCUUUCUGUCUCUAUUUAAAAAGUUGAAUUUUAUUUUUUAGUUAAAAAGCUUAAAUUUGUUUGUAAGACGAGAAGACCCUAUAGAGUUUUAUAUUUUUUUUAAUUUGAAAUUAAUUGUAGUAGAGAAUUUUUUGAGUUUUAAAAUAUUUGGUUGGGGUGACAGAAAAAUUAAAUAAACUUUUUCUUUUUUUUAUAUAGAUUUAUAGGUUUUUGACUUAAUGUUUUAGUUAUAAGAUUAAAUUACCUUAGGGAUAACAGCGUAUUUUUUCUAAAGAGUUCUUAUCGAAAGAAAAGAUUGCGACCUCGAUGUUGGAUUAAAGUUAAAAAUUGGUGUAGAAGCUUGAAUAUUUUAGUCUGUUCGACUAUUAAAACUUUACAUGAUCUGAGUUUAGACCGGCGUGAGCCAGGUCGGUUUCUAUCUUCAAUAGUUUAAAAUAUUUUAGUACGAAAGGACCAAAUAUUAUUUAUAUUAAUUGAGAAUUGACUUAUAUU